Molecule: ribosomal RNA, 86 nt
Filed under: Methylobacterium sp. ap11
Lineage: Bacteria; Pseudomonadati; Pseudomonadota; Alphaproteobacteria; Hyphomicrobiales; Methylobacteriaceae
Description: 23S rRNA. Bacterial LSU
Rfam family: Bacterial large subunit ribosomal RNA
Source: RNAcentral
AAGACGACCACGUGGAUAGGCUGGAUGUGCAAGCGCGGUAACGCGCUGAGCUGACCAGUACUAAUCGCUCGAUCGGCUUGAUCGCU